AGAGUUUGAUCCUGGCUCAGAACGAACGCUGGCGGCAGGCCUCAAACAUGCAAGUCUAGGGGGUGUAGCAAUACAUCACCGGCGGACGGGUGCGUAACACGUGGGAAUAUACCUUUUGGUUCGGAACAACGCAGGGAAACUUGCGCUAAUACCGAAUGUGCCCUUACGGGGAAAGAUUUAUCGCCAAAGGAUUAGCCCGCGUAGGAUUAGCUAGUUGGUGAGGUAAUGGCUCACCAAGGCUCCGAUCCUUAGCUGUUCUGAGAGGAAGAUCAGCCACACUGGGACUGAGACACGGCCCAGACUCCUACGGGAGGCAGCAGUUGGGAAUCUUGGACAAUGGGGGAAACCCCUGAUCCAGCCAUGCCGCGUGAGUGAUGAAGGCCUUCGGGUUGUAAAACUCUUUCGACGGGGACGAUAAUGACGGUACCCGUAGAAGAAGCUCCGGCUAACUUCGUG
Molecule: ribosomal RNA, 456 nt
Filed under: uncultured bacterium
Lineage: Bacteria
Description: bacterial SSU rRNA
Rfam family: Bacterial small subunit ribosomal RNA
Source: RNAcentral